GCGAUCGCUUUUUUCAGUUGGGCAAUCGUCGGAGAGCGCUGAUGGAGCUGAAAUAUCAAUGAAAAUGCACAGUGUGAGAAAUAGAGAAUAUAUUCAUUCGUAGCUGUAGCUCAGCAUGAACCAUAUCUUUAUUUUGAAUAAUAAGUCGCAAAAUAAGAAGCUUGUUGGAACGGGAAUUCUUUUUAAGUUUUCGAUUUUUGGAACUACUAAUUGAAAAAAUGCAAAUAAAUUUUAAGCAUUUUACAUGUGCCUGUAAUUAUAUUUGUUCUACCUUCGGCACGCAGGUAAUUUAAUGGAAAAAUACAUGAACUUCGGAAUGCAAGUUUUAGGAACUUUUUUCCGGAUAACUAAAUAGAUUUAUAAUAUAUAAUGGAGAUGGUAGACCCAAAGUUUAACCACAAUAUAAAACAGUUUGUAUUCAAAGAAUCAAUGAAGCAUGAAGCUGCAAGAAGUUCUUUCUCUUCUCUUUUUAAUUCUUAUUUUCAUUGUUCCACUUUUCAAAUGGCGUUUUUGGCAUGAAAAUGAAAUAGUGUUUACAUAAACGGCGAAAAUUUCACCAGCGUCUACAAAAGAACCUCGCGAAUUGGACAUUAAUCAAAUUGAUGAAUCGAAAACGGCUACAUAUGUAUGUACAUAUUGAAUUGAAUGGCAAUCGGGUGCAAACAGCUGCGCGCAAGGUAACUGGGAGUUGUGGGGUCAAUUGAGAGCUUCCGACUGAGACUCCGAACAGCCGACCAGUGCUGCCAACUGACGCUUCGGAAAAAUAACGGAUUCCAUGUAAAAAAAAGCUUCGUGAAUGUAAAAAUAUUGUUGUAUUAGCUUUCUGUAAAUUGCUGGCAAAAACAACUGAUUAUAUCAAAUUAGAACAAUGCGACUGA
Non-coding RNA from Drosophila virilis, 878 nucleotides. NCBI's taxonomy places the organism in Eukaryota, Metazoa, Arthropoda, Insecta, Diptera, Drosophilidae. The record is from RefSeq and is a predicted model, not a curated record.